This 486-nucleotide ribosomal RNA is filed under the name Notochlamys hexactes. Its description in RNAcentral is "partial 16S ribosomal RNA". It matches the Rfam family "Bacterial large subunit ribosomal RNA", at positions 1859 to 2607 of the family's 2925-position model. The record is from RNAcentral. Lineage: Eukaryota; Metazoa; Mollusca; Bivalvia; Pectinida; Pectinidae.
CUUCCCGGUGGGUAUACGAACCUAAACGGACGCGGUAAAUCGUGCUAAGGUAGCUAAAUUAUGGCCUAUUAAUUCGUAGGCCCUGUGAAUGGUUUGACGAGUCUUCAUCUGUCUCAAGGUUAUUUUGGUGAACUUGAAUUAAAUGUGCAAAUGCAUUUAUGUGGAAGAAAGACGAGAAGACCCUGUGAAGUUAGAAAUUGUGGCUGACAUUUAGAGAUUUUCUAAAAGUUAGAGUCAGAAGUUUUGGCUGGGGCAGCAAAAAGGCAAAUCUAGACCUUUUUAUUUAAUCAAUGGGUGCGUAACGACCCACACGGGCGGUAAAGUGUGCUUAGCAGAAGGAGUUACUCCAGGGAUAACAGCGUUAUCCAUCCUGAUAGUUCUUAUAGAUGGGUGGGUUUGCGACCUCGAUGUUGGCUCUGGGUUUCCGGAGGCUGUAGGUGGUCUCAAAGGUUGGUUUGUUCACCCAUUAAAACCCAACGUGAUCUG